AAGAGAAGAGCCGGUGAAGAUAGCCAAGGAGACUGCCUGAAACCAAGUAAUUUGGGACCAUUCAUAUUGUUUAUUAUUAUUGAAGGUCACCAAAUAAGUUCAUGGCGCAGGCAAGUCAUCCUUGGCUACCAAACCAAAGACUCUUUUCU
Molecule: non-coding RNA, 149 nt
Organism: Spinacia oleracea (spinach)
Lineage: Eukaryota; Viridiplantae; Streptophyta; Magnoliopsida; Caryophyllales; Amaranthaceae
Source: Rfam